RNAcentral lists this ribosomal RNA (565 nucleotides) under uncultured bacterium. Its description in RNAcentral is "partial 16S ribosomal RNA". It matches the Rfam family "Bacterial small subunit ribosomal RNA", at positions 355 to 906 of the family's 1533-position model. The record is from RNAcentral.
UGGGGAAUUUUGGACAAUGGGGGAAACCCUGAUCCAGCCAUCCCGCGUGUGCGAUGAAGGCCUUCGGGUUGUAAAGCACUUUUGGCAGGAAAGAAACGUCGCGGGUUAAUACCCCGCGAAACUGACGGUACCUGCAGAAUAAGCACCGGCUAACUACGUGCCAGCAGCCGCGGUAAUACGUAGGGUGCAAGCGUUAAUCGGAAUUACUGGGCGUAAAGCGUGCGCAGGCGGUUCGGAAAGAAAGAUGUGAAAUCCCAGAGCUUAACUUUGGAACUGCAUUUUUAACUACCGGGCUAGAGUGUGUCAGAGGGAGGUGGAAUUCCGCGUGUAGCAGUGAAAAUGCGUAGAUAUGCGGAGGAACACCGAUGGCGAAGGCAGCCUCCUGGGAUAACACUGACGCUCAUGCACGAAAAGCGUGGGGAGCAAAACAGGAUUAGAUACCCUGGUAGUCCACGCCCUAAAACGAUGUCAAACUAGCUGUUGGGGGCCUUCGGGCCUUGGUAGCGCAGCUAACGCGUGAAGUUGACCGCCUGGGGAGUACGGUCGCAAGAUUAAAAACUCAAAA